CCAAAAAAAAGCCUGGUGACAGAGUGAGACCCUGUCUCAAAAACAAACAAACAAACAAACAAACAAAAAACAACCACCUUAUUUUUACCUAUUGUACCUCUACUUAACCAAAAUUGGACUAUAAAGGUAUAAAAGGCAAACAAGUCUUGUUAACUGACUAUUCCAGUUAAUGGAUUUAUCACACAUCUGAUGAUGUCUUGAGCCUUGGCUUACCUCCCUGUGUAAAGAGGAGGUGGGACAAGAUAAGGCUGAUUCAUGGUCCCUGCCAGGAAUGCACCUGGAUGGCCCUAUGAUUCCCUCAUCGCUCAUCACUUCUCGGUGGUACUGAAAGGCAGUUGAUACCUGUUUGAAUUGUGUCAAUCAGAAAAGGCAAUGUGCCGAGUUUGUUAAUGCCAACCUAAACAACUUCUCAGUUGCUCUGUCAGCGCUGUCAGUACCCUGGGCCUUGUUGUGGAGCAGAAAAAAAAAAAUGCUUAAGCAUGUCUCCCCAACCCUUUCUUUAAAGGUGCUGCAGGGCUGUGGAGCUGGGGUUGUUUCAGUAUUAGCUGUCUCAGGAAGCCAGCUUUGUUGUUCACACCUGUCCUGGGCACCUUUGCAUAGUCAACAACUGAGUCUCUCUCCCAUCAGUCACUCCUUUGGAAACUGCUCUUUCUCCUCUAAAAUUAAGCCUUUGAGCUUUUGCUUCUCAACAUUUCAUACUGAUAGUAUCAAAAGGGCAUUAACUUUCUCAGAAGUGACAUAUUAAGCUGAAGAAUUCCGAUGGUGUGAUUUCAAUGACCUAACUGCAUGUCAGUCACGUUGCACGUUGAGAUGGCCUCAAGCGGCUCCAACAGGGCAGCAAUUGUGCAAGAAGCUGACACUUCCCAGCUUCAGUCAUCAGCUUGGGCUUUCUACUCUCUCCUUCUGGUAGGUGAGUCUCAUCUUGGCCCCAAAUUCAUUGGUCGUGGUCCCACAUAUAGAAGGAGUUAAAGGCAGAGGCACAAUUCAGGGGCAGAGGGAGAAAAUGGACUGAGUUCCCAUGCCAGGAGUCAUGCCAAGCACUUUAAAAUUUCUCCUUUUAAUCUACAUAUGUCACCACGAGUAAGAGUGUUUUUAUCUUCAUUUUAUAGAUGGGGGCAGGGAGGCGACUAUUAAAUGUUAAAGCUGGGCCUCCAACCCAGAUCUGUCAGAUUCCAAAAGAAAAAUCCUUGGAUCUUUUUAAGCUUGAUGCUUUCUUAUUUUUUUUAGGACGAAACACUGGAACUCUCCAGAAUAAAUUGGUACCUGGGUCUCUUCCAAAGUGAGUUGCUCUUAGGAGCUUCAAAUGAGGGUCUUUGAAGCCACAUGAAAAUUGAUGAGUGGUUGUAAUAUCCAAGGUACCAAAUCAGACACACUUGUAAUUGUUCCCAAUAGUUUCUUAGCAGGCAUUUUGGAGGAAAAGAUUUGGAUCAGAAAUUCAGAAAUUACCUGGGCUCACAAAAAUAUGCCCCUCCAGCACCAUCCUGCCUUCUGCUUCCAAGAUGCAUGAGCUUUCUGAAGAGCUGGUGAGAAUAUUGAAACUUCCUGGCCUUGGUUUCCCAUCUGGUAAAACGAGGAAGACCAAAGCUUAACCCUCACAAGGAAUAUGUAGAUGAGGAAACUGAAGCUCUUGGGGUAACAUGACUUGUGAAACUGCAUGCUUCUCCUCAGUGGCAGGGCGGGGACUCUGGAUGGAGGAACUGCCAAGACCUUCUAGAUCUCUGACAUGCAUAAACUGGCACGUUUAGAGAAUAACGAGGAAAACAAAGUAAAACAAAAGACGGUACCUGUGUGCUAAGAAUUUAUUACCCCCACAUCAAAAAACUUAUCCACCACGAUCAAGUCGGCUUCAUCCCUGGGAUGCAAGGCUGGCUCAGCAUAUGCAAAUCAAUAAAUGUAAUCCAUCACAUAAACAGAACCAGAGACAAAAACCACAUGGUUAUCUCAAUAGAUGCAGAAAAGGCCUUUGAUAAAAUUCAACAUCCCUUCAUGUUAAAAACCCAAUAAAUUAGAUAUUGAUGGAACAUAUCUCAAAAUAAAAGAGCUAUUUAUGACAAACCCACAGCCAAUAUCAUAUUGAAUGGGCAAAAGCUGGAAGCAUUCCCUUUGAAUACUAGUACAAGAUGAGGAUGCCCUAUUCUCACCACUCUAUUCAACCUAGUAUUGAAGUUCUGGCCAGGGCAAUCAGGUAAGAGAAAGAAAAAAAAGCAUAUUCUAAUAGGAAGAGAGGAAGUCAAAUUGUCUCUGUUUGCAGACAACAUGAUUGUGUAUUUAGAAAACCCCAUCGUCUCACCCCAAAAACUCCUUAAGCUGUGAGAAACUUCAGCAAAGUCUCAGGGUACGAAAUCAAUGUGCAAAAAUCACAAGCAUUCCUUUACAUCAACAAUAGACAAGCAGGGAGCCAAAUCAUGAAUAAACUCCCAUUCACAAUUGCUAGAAAGAGAGUAAAAUACCUAGGAAUACAGCUAACAAGGGAUGUGAAGGACCUUUUCAAGGAGAACUACAAACUACUGCUCAAGGAAAUAAGAGAGGACACAAACAAAUGGAAAAACAUUCCAUCCUCAUGGAUAGGAAGAAUCAAUAUCAUGAAAAUGGCCAUACUGUCCAAUGUAAUUUAUAGAUUCAAUGCUAUCUCCAUCAAGCUACCAUUGACAUUCUUCACAGAAUUAGAAAAAAACUACUUUAAAUUUCCUAUGGAAGCAAAGAAGACCCUGUAUAGCUAAGAAAAGCCUAAGGAAAAAGAACAAAGUUAGAGGCAUCAAACUACCUGACUUCAAAUUAUACUACAGGCUACAGUAACCAAAACAGCAUGGUACUGGUACCAAAACAAACAUAUAGACCAAUGGAACAGAACAGAGACCUCAGAAAUAACACCACACAUCUACAACCAUCUGAUCUUUGAUAAACCUGACAAAAACAAGCAAUAGGGAAAGGAUCUCCUAUUCAUUAAAUGUUGCUGGGAAAACUGUCUAGCCAUAUGCAGAAAACUGAAACUGGAUCACCUUUCCUUAUACUUUACACAAAAAUUAACUCAGGAUGAAUUAAAGACUUAAAUGUAAAACCCCAAACCAUAAAAACCCUAGAAGAAAACCUAGGCAAUAGCAUUCAGGACAUAGGCAUGGGCAAAGACUUCAUGAUGAAAACGCCAAAAGCAAUUGCAACAAAAGCCAUAAGUGACAAAUGGGAUCUAAUUAAACUAAAGAGUUUCUGCACAGCAAAACAAGCUAUCAGUACAGUGAACAGGCAGCCUACAGAAUGGGAGAAAAAUUUUGCGAUCUAUCCAUCCGACAAAGGCCUAAUAUCCAGCAUCUAUAAGGGACUUAAACAAA
Long non-coding RNA from Cercocebus atys (sooty mangabey), 3326 nucleotides. RefSeq lists it as uncharacterized. The record is from RefSeq and is a predicted model, not a curated record. The transcript has 4 exons. Lineage: Eukaryota; Metazoa; Chordata; Mammalia; Primates; Cercopithecidae.